UUGACAGCCCUGGAGACUGAAGUCCUCUAUCCCCGAAACAGGUACAACAUGGGCACCAAUAAAGCAAUCUUUACUCCCAUUGCCCCUCCUGUGUGUCUCACUCCUGAGCUGGGAAGAUCACCUCUAGGGGUGAGUAGGGAAUUCACUCUCCAUGGCUCAUUCAAUCUGUGGCUUCC
RNAcentral lists this small RNA (176 nucleotides) under Chrysemys picta bellii (western painted turtle). Its description in RNAcentral is "TUC338 (ENSCPBG00000020521.1)". Lineage: Eukaryota; Metazoa; Chordata; Testudines; Emydidae. The record is from RNAcentral.